GAUGAACGCUGGCGGCGUGCCUAAUACAUGCAAGUCGAGCGAACAGACGAGGAGCUUGCUCCUCUGACGUUAGCGGCGGACGGGUGAGUAACACGUGGAUAACCUACCUAUAAGACUGGGAUAACUUCGGGAAACCGGAGCUAAUACCGGAUAAUAUAUUGAACCGCAUGGUUCAAUAGUGAAAGACGGUUUUGCUGUCACUUAUAGAUGGAUCCGCGCCGCAUUAGCUAGUUGGUAAGGUAACGGCUUACCAAGGCAGCGAUGCGUAGCCGACCUGAGAGGGUGAUCGGCCACACUGGAACUGAGACACGGUCCAGACUCUUACGGGAGGCAGCAGUAGGGAAUCUUCCGCAAUGGGCGAAAGCCUGACGGAGCAACGCCGCGUGAGUGAUGAAGGUCUUCGGAUCGUAAAACUCUGUUAUUAGGGAAGAACAAAUGUGUAAGUAACUAUGCACGUCUUGACGGUACCUAAUCAGAAAGCCACGGCUAACUACGUG
This 497-nucleotide ribosomal RNA is filed under the name uncultured bacterium. RNAcentral's name for it is "partial 16S ribosomal RNA". It matches the Rfam family "Bacterial small subunit ribosomal RNA", at positions 28 to 507 of the family's 1533-position model. The record is from RNAcentral.